This is a non-coding RNA of Brachypodium distachyon (stiff brome), 136 nucleotides long. The record is from Rfam. NCBI's taxonomy places the organism in Eukaryota, Viridiplantae, Streptophyta, Magnoliopsida, Poales, Poaceae.
UUAUUACUCCCUUUGUCCAACAAAAAAUGUCUCAAGUUUGUCAAAAUUUGAAUGUAUCUAGACAUAACUUAGUGUAUAGAUGCAUUCAAAUUUAAUCAAAGUUGAGAUAUCUUUUGUUGGACAGAUGGAUUACUGA